UCUUCAAGACAAGAAACGAACGAAACAAAAACGCAGACAUUGUGGAUCGAUUGCGACACAUCCAUUCUUUCUUCUUCAAGAAUCGAAUGAAAUGAAAACUCUGUGUGUGGAUGUUCGGUGGUUCGCUCAACCAUCUUUAUUAUUUGCAACAUCAACAAACAACAUUCAAUUUUCUGCUUGAAAAAAGGUACGACUUUAACCAUUUUUUUCUCAUUCUUGAUCAUACAAGAAAAUUCAAUCUUCUGCUUGAGAAAAACAAAAUAACCUUAAUUGUGCAAAUUGUGUUCUGUUCUGUCCCAAAAGAACCUUAAAAGACAGUUUUUUGUUCGUCACAAUAAAGAAUCUCACUCGUGUUUGGAACGAUGGUGGGUUUCCUGUAACCCUAAAUUUGCAUUGUGUGAAGAAAUCUGUUUUCAUUAUCUAAAAAAGGGGUGGAAUAUAUUUCUAUAGUAACCCUAAACUUGACAGUUGGAAUCGAUGAAUAUAAUUUGUUUUGUAAAUUUUGAAAUGGAUGGAUCCUAGAUUUCUCAAUGACCCUAGUCCCCGAAUGCGAAAGCUAGUUGAUAAUUCAACAACAUAGGUAUAUAGUAUGCUUUGAUGACCCUUAGUCCCUGAAUUCGAUUAUGCAUUAUGAACAAUAUUCAAUCUUCUGCUUCAUAAAAAGAAAACAAAAGAACCUUAAUUGAGCAAAUGUGUUCUUUUUGUCCCUUGACCCUUUUGUUUGUUUGGCACCAAUUUUUGAAAGAUUAACUUUUUGUUUGUUACGAUAAUGUAGUUUCACACAUUUUUGGAAUUUUCAUUCCAACAUAUUUUCCCCAUUUGGAUUAUAAUCAAUACCUUUUGGGAACAAUGAUGAGCUUUGAUAAAAACUUUUAAUCUCCUGCUUCGGUAAAAAGUGAUUGGAUGUCUUGAUGCCCAAAAAAUGCUGGAUAAAUUGCUUAAUGAUGUCCCUAGUCCCUGAAUGCGAAAGCUAGUUGUUGCCUUAAUUGCUACUCAAGCAAUUGUCUCUAUCGGUGUCCGCUUUUCUAUUAAAAAAAUUAUGAAUUUUUAUUCAUAAUAAUGAAUGAAUGGGUAUAUAGUCUGCUUUGAUAACACUUAGUCCCUAAAUUCAAUUCUGCAACUGCAAUUAGAAGUGAUUUUGCAUUAUGAACAUAACGACCCUUGUCCCAAAUGUUUCAUAAGUUUUGUAAGGGAUGGAUGCCUCAGUGACCUUUGAGAAAAAUGCAUUAUGAAUUCUUUAUUCGUAAUAGAAAAGUUGGAUGGUGGCUUUCAAAGGAAAUAUUUUUUUAAUAUGAGAUAAAAAAUAAUAUUUCCUGUAACUGAAGUUAGAAGAAUGCUGUUGGGUAAAGGGAUGGUUGAUGGUUCAGAUACGGCUUCAUGCACGAAUCAGAGCAACCUUUUGAAAAUGAAAAGUCAGAUCAAGAGGUUUCAGUGUUUCAAACAGCGGCUAUAGUAGCGGUACAAUGUAGCAGAAUUCAAACAAACCACUAUUGUUCUGUAAUAUGCUAUUUAGUACUGAAGACCAUUGCUCAAAUAAGCACUCCUGAUCCCAGUUUUCUUUUGGUACAACCAUAUGACAAAUCAAGGUUUGAAAUGUGAGGAACCAACUCUGUCAACUGGGAUCUAAGAGUGAGAGAUAAAUAGUAGAAUUUUCAGUAUGAGCUACAGGGGCCAAAGAAAAAGCCUAUUAGGCUACCUUGAACCGAAGGUAUUUCUUAUAUUAACUGGAAGAAAAUAGAUGAUAUCCCCUCACGUGCCUUAUAACAAUGGACUGAAAACUUGUGCAUACGAUGUGAGCGCAUGAACCAAGAUUUGGUGAUGGCACACGGAGGUGAGUUGUGUUUGCAGCUUUUGAGAUGUUUUUUUUUUUGGGGGAGGGGUGUAUGAAUUAGGUGAGCAGGCAAGUACUGACAAUGGACCAAUGUGCUCACAACGGCUGAAACCUUAGACUGGAACUAUGUCAGAUGAAAUAAUUGAGGUAGGUAUCAACUAGAGAGCUUAACAAUCCGAAAUGAUGAUUCUAUUAUUCUCUUGACAAAUGAAUCUGCACAACACAACUAUAUAUAUAUACAAGAGAGACAAUACAACGAUAGAAUAAAUUAUGGUUAUAAUCAUAAUCAAUGACAAAGGGGAUUUUACUAAGGACAAAUAUUCAAGAAGCUGACGGAUGAUUACAUAAAGAAGGUUGAUGCUAUCUACAAACAGAAAGAAAAGGUAUUAUAUAUUUCUACUUGUUUAGUUUAUCUAGCGCUUAUGGCAGAUUGUAGAUUAAUGAGAUGCUUAAACACAAAUUACACUCUCAAAGCCAUUUUUCAAAUGAGAUUGUAGAUUAAAGAAAAAAAGAAAAGAAGUUUCUCAGAUAAAAUGAGUUAAUUGUUUGUCACUUACAAAAGUAGUUUUUAUUACAUUUAGAGAAGUUAAAUGAGAGAUUCUGAAAUAUAUUGAGAAACAAAAAAAUAAUUUCAACUCACAAAAAACUAUAAUUUAAAAAAGCCGCUGUUACAAGAUUCUUUUUGUUUUUUGGAAGUACUUCUAUGAUUUCCUUGAUGUUCUCCCCCUUCUCACUUUCACUGUACUAUAAUUUAAAAAAGCCGCUAUGUAAUGGUCGGCAAAAGAUGUUUCAUUUGAACUUUAGAGUAACUUUUAGACUAUCUUUGGUGCUUUUGACUUGAUUGUGUUCAAUAUUAAUAACUUAAUGAAGAUUUGAAUGAAUAGGCAAAUUGGUCUUCAACAUUGUGAGUAUCGAUCAAAAUAAUCGAAUUGGCAAAUACAUUCAUGAAAUUGUAACACAUCAGUCAAAAAUAUUUAUCCCUUAACUUUUGCCAUUAGGGGGCUAUAAUGUGGGGGUGUUAAACGAAUAUGUUGUUUUCCACAUGGAUCCUACAUCUCUAGAAACAUAUGUGACAUGUUAAAUUAAUGCAUUUGAUGCCAACUUAAUGACCCUUGUCCCUCAAUGGAAAAUGAAUUAUGAAUUCUUUAUGCAUAAUGUAAAUGUUGGAUGGAGGCUUUCAAAGCAAAGCAAUUUUAAUAUAAAAUUUUAUUCAAAACGUGGAUGGUGUCUAUUGUCUUUUUAUGGCCCUAAUUGUGAAACUGUCACUAGUGGUAUGGUAUACAUGAGAUCACUAACUCCAAAUUCGAUGGAUAUACUUUGUUCCUUGAUUUUUGUAAGGGAUUGUCUUGGUGGCUUAAAAAUGUUGGAUGAUGCCUUAAUGUGAAAGCUAGUUGUUGACUUAAAUGCAAUUUUAAUAUAAAAUUUCAUUCAUAAUAUAAGACAUGGAUAUUAUCUAUUGUGCUUUAAUGACCCUAGUCCCUAAAUGCAAUUUUGCAACUACAAUAUGAACUGAUUUUGCAAAUGCAAAAGUCAUUGCGUCCUUGUGUUUGAUUAGCCUAAUGAUAAGGGUUUCAAAGUAAUUCUCUAAGGAAGACACGAAUCAACUGAAGCAAAGUACAAAGAAACCAACUCUUUGGAGUCUAAAUUGUUUCUUAUAAUAAUCUAUCUAUCUGGUAUAUAUGGCAUUAUGGCCACGAGGCUGUUUCUCCCAGGAAUCGAAUUUGGGUUCUCCCGAAUUAUUCAUCCCAGGUGGAGCUCAUUAAUCACUUGAGUCCAAUCACUUAGUUUAGUGAUUGCUACUUGUCCUUCAUGACUCAUGAUCACUUUUCAUUGCAUGACUUCUAUCUUAUUAUCAGCUUUCGCUUCUGUCAUUUUUACUUCCUUUUAGUUGAUUUGGGUUGGUUUCAGUGUUGUCAAACAUCGACUAGAGUAGCGGUACAAUGUAGCAGAAUUCAACCAAUCCACUGUUGUUCCGUAAUAUGCUAUUUAGUAGUUAGUACAAAUUGUUCUCUUUUGGUACAACAACCAUCAGACAAAUCAAGAAGCUGACAGAUGAUUACAUAAAGAAGGUUGAUGCUAUCUACAAACAGAAAGAAAAGGUAUUAUAUAUUUCUACUUGGUUAGUUUAUCUAGAGCUUAUGGCAGAUUUUAGAUUAAUGAGAUGCUUAUAUAUUAUAUUAAGAAUGCAAUGUCCUGCCAAUUGAGCUAAGUACACAGGACAACAUGCCACUUUUUAUUAUUUGCAACAUCAACAAACAACAUUCAAAUUUCUGCUUGAAAAAAGGUACAACUUUACCCAUUUUUUUCUCAUUCUUGAUCAUUCAAGAAAAUUCAAUCUUCUGCUUGAGAAAAACAAAAUUACCUUAAUUGUGCAAAGGGUGUUCUGUUCUGUCCCAAAAGGAACUUAAAAACAAUUUUUUGCUUGUCACGAUAAGGAGAGUUUCACUCGUUUUUUUGGAAUUUGCAUUCUAACAUAUUUGCCCCAUUUGGUUUAUAAUCGAUACAUAUUGGGCACGAUGGUGGGUUUCCUGUAACCCUAAAUUUUCAUUGUGUGAAGAAUCUGUUUUCAUUAUCUGAAAAAGGGUGGAGUAUAUAGCCAUGGUAACCCUAAAUUUGACCGUUGGAAUUGACGAAUAUAAUUUGUUUUAUAAAUUUUGGAACGGAUGGAUCAUAGAUGCCUCAAUGAACCUAGUCCGUGAAUGAGCUAGCUGUUGCCUUAAUUGCUACUCAAGCAAUCGUCUCUAUCGGUGUCCGCUUUUUUAUUCAUAAUAAUGCAUGAAUGGUUAUAUAUAUUCAGCUUUGAAUGCCUAAAUUCAAUUCUUCAACUGCAAUUAGAAGUGAUUGCAUUAUGAACAACAUUCAAUCUUCUGCUUCAUAAAAACAAAACAAAAGAAUCUUAAUUGAGCAAAUGUGUUCUUUUUGUCCAAUGACCCUUUUGUUUGUUUGGCACCAAUUUUUGAAAGAUUAACUUUUUCGUUUGAUACGGUAAAUUUUGGAACUUUCAUUUCAACAUCUUUGCAUUCAUGAAUCAUAUAUGUUGAGAUACCCAUUUUUUAUUUUGUCAAGAACAUUCAAUCUUCUGCUUGAAAAAGAGGUACAACUUUACCCAUUCUCCUGGUUCUUGAUCAUUGAAGAGCAUUCGAUCUUCUGCUUGAGAAAAACAAAAAGAACCUUAAUUGUGCAAAACGUAUUCUGUCCCAAGAUCAUGUUUGGUACCAAUAUUUAAAAAAAAAACAGAUUUUUGUUUGUUAGGAAAAUGUAGUUUCGCACGUUUUGGAAUUUUCAUUCCAACAUAUUUGCCCCAUCUGCUUUGUAAUCAAUACCUGUUGGGAACGAUAUGAUGGGCUUCGAUAAAAACUUUUAAUCUUAUGCUUCGAUAAAAGUGAUUGGAUGUCUUGAUGCCCAAAAAAUGUUGGAUAAAUUACUUAAUGACCCUAGUCCCUGAAUGCAAAAGCUAGUUGUUUCCUUAUUAUGAAUUUUUAUUCAUAAUAAUGCAUGAAUGGGUAUAUACUUUGACGACCCUUAGUCCCUAAAUUCAAUUCUGCAACUGCAAUUAGAAGUGAUUUUGCAUUAUGAACAUAAUGACCCUUGUCCCAAAUGUUUCAUAAGUUUUGUAAGGGAUGAAUACCUGAAUGACCUUUGAGAAAAAUGCAUUAUGAAUUCUUUAUUCAUAAUGGAAAAGUUGGAUGGUGGCUUUCAUAAGGGAAAACAAUUUAAUAUGAAAUUUUAUUCUAAUCGUGGAUGGUGUCUAUCAUCUCUUUAUGACCCUAAUUGUGAAACUGUCACUAGUGGUAUGACAUACAUGAGAUAACUCCAAAUUCAAUGGAUAUACUUUGUUCCUUGAUUUUUGUAAGGGAUUGUCUUGGUGGCCCAAAAAUGUUGGAUGAUGCCUUAAUGUCAAAGCUAGUUGUUGCCUUAAAUGCGAUUUUAAUAUAAAAUUUCAUUCAUAAUAUAAGGAAUGGAUUCUUAUCUAUUGUGCUUUAAUGACCCUAGUCCCUAAAUGCAAUUUUGCAACUACAAUAUGAACUAAUUUUGCAAAUUCAAAAAGCAUUGCGUCCUUGUGUUUGAUUAGCCUACUGAUAAGGGUUUCAAAGAAAUUCUCUAAGGAAGACACAAAUUAACUUAAACAAAGUACAUAGAAACCAACUCUUUGGAGUCUAAACUGUUUCUUAUAAUAUCUAUCUGGUAUAUAUGGCAUUAUGGCCACGAGGUUGUUUCUCCCGGGAUUCAAAUUUGGGUUCUCCCGAAUUAUAUUCAUCCCAGGGGUAGCUCAUCAUCUUUCUUCAUAAUAAUUGUUUGAAUCUCAGCCUUAUGGGAUAUUAGACAAUCAAACAAAAUGUUUUCAAGAACAUUCAAAAGAAACUGAUAUUCUUUGUGCUAAGACCCUAAAUUUGACUAUUGGAAUCGAUGAAUGUACUGUGUUUUAUAAAUUUUGUAACGGAUGGAUCAUAGACGCCUCAAUGACUAUAGAGUAAAAUGCUGGAUGAACUUAAUGACCCUAAUCCCUGAAUGUGAAAGCUAGUUGUUGCUUUAAUUGUCACUCAAACAAUUGUCUCUAUGUGUCUCCCUCUUUUUUGUCAAAAAAUAUAUAUGAAUUUUUAUUCAAAAUGCAAGAAUGGAUAUCUAUAGUGCUUCGGUGAUCCUUAGGUCCUAAAUUCAAUUUUGCAGUGAUUUGUCCUUAUUACCCAAUGUUUCAUAAGUUUGUAAGGAAUGGAUGCCUCAAUGAGACAAUGGCGUUAGAGUAAAAUGCAUUAUGACUCGAAUCAUGAAUCUGAGAUGAUUUUUUUUUCUUUUCAUUAUCUAUAAUGCGUUGUGUGGUAAACAUGAGCCCACUAACUCAAAAUUCAACAAUAAGAUGAAUAUACUUUGUUCUGUGAUUUUUGUAAGGGAUUUUCUUGAUGGUCCAAAAAUGCAGGAUGAUGCCUUAGGGCCCGAUUGGUUCGAGGUAGAUGGAGGGGAGGGGGGUAAUCUUGACAAAAAAAAAGAUUUCAUUUUAUUAAAUCAUUUUUUCAAAAAAAAAAAGUUUUCUAUUCUUGAAAAAAAAACGUUU
Trifolium pratense (red clover) is the source of this 6881-nucleotide long non-coding RNA. RefSeq lists it as uncharacterized. Lineage: Eukaryota; Viridiplantae; Streptophyta; Magnoliopsida; Fabales; Fabaceae. The record is from RefSeq and is a predicted model, not a curated record. The transcript has 5 exons.